GAUGAACGCUGGCGGCGUGCCUAAUACAUGCAAGUCGAGCGAACAGACGAGGAGCUUGCUCCUCUGAUGUUAGCGGCGGACGGGUGAGUAACACGUGGAUAACCUACCUAUAAGACUGGGAUAACUUCGGGAAACCGGAGCUAAUGCCGGAUAACAUGUUGAACCGCAUGGUUCAACAGUGAAAGACGGUCUUGCUGUCACUUAUAGAUGGAUCCGCGCCGCAUUAGCUAGUUGGUAAGGUAACGGCUUACCAAGGCAACGAUGCGUAGCCGACCUGAGAGGGUGAUCGGCCACACUGGAACUGAGACACGGUCCAGACUCCUACGGGAGGCAGCAGUAGGGAAUCUUCCGCAAUGGGCGAAAGCCUGACGGAGCAACGCCGCGUGAGUGAAGAAGGUCUUCGGAUCGUAAAACUCUGUUAUUAGGGAAGAACAAAUGUGUAAGUAACUAUGCACGUCUCGACGGUACCUAAUCAGAAAGCCACGGCUAACUACGUG
RNAcentral lists this ribosomal RNA (497 nucleotides) under uncultured bacterium. Its description in RNAcentral is "partial 16S ribosomal RNA". It matches the Rfam family "Bacterial small subunit ribosomal RNA", at positions 28 to 507 of the family's 1533-position model. The record is from RNAcentral.